ACUUAAAUAGUUUAUUAAAAAUAUUGGUUUGUGGUUCCAAUGAUAUAUUUAUUAUUUUAAGUU
This 63-nucleotide transfer RNA is filed under the name Stegobium paniceum (drugstore beetle). Its description in RNAcentral is "tRNA-His". Lineage: Eukaryota; Metazoa; Arthropoda; Insecta; Coleoptera; Ptinidae. The record is from RNAcentral.